AUGGCCAUGGAGAGGUUUCUGACUGCGCUUGUCUUCUGCGAGGUGCCCCUCGACGGAUACAGCUUGUCCGUGAUGACAUCCUCCAGGGUGGUCAAGCCGCUGGUCUCCUGUGGAUCGAUGAAGCCGGCAGUUGAUGUGCCGAAGGCUAACGAUGCAUACACCUGGAAGAAGCCUGGAUUCUAUGGCGAGAUGACGACGCAGCGGUGUGCUGGGUAUGAGCUUGCGUUCGAUGGUCUCAACUGCUUCGACACCGUCGUCAUGCACCAAGCAUGA
RNAcentral lists this ribosomal RNA (273 nucleotides) under Triticum aestivum (bread wheat). RNAcentral's name for it is "partial small subunit ribosomal RNA". The record is from RNAcentral. Lineage: Eukaryota; Viridiplantae; Streptophyta; Magnoliopsida; Poales; Poaceae.